Molecule: transfer RNA, 72 nt
Filed under: Cavia porcellus (domestic guinea pig)
Lineage: Eukaryota; Metazoa; Chordata; Mammalia; Rodentia; Caviidae
Rfam family: tRNA
About the family: Transfer RNA (tRNA) molecules are approximately 80 nucleotides in length. Their secondary structure includes four short double-helical elements and three loops (D, anti-codon, and T loops). Further hydrogen bonds mediate the characteristic L-shaped molecular structure. tRNAs have two regions of fundamental functional importance: the anti-codon, which is responsible for specific mRNA codon recognition, and the 3' end, to which the tRNAs corresponding amino acid is attached (by aminoacyl-tRNA synthetases). tRNAs cope with the degeneracy of the genetic code in two manners: having more than one tRNA (with a specific anti-codon) for a particular amino acid; and 'wobble' base-pairing, i.e. permitting non-standard base-pairing at the 3rd anti-codon position.
Source: Rfam by way of RNAcentral
GGGAAUCUAGCUUAGUGGUAAAGUGCUUGCCUAGCAUGCCAGGGGCCUUGAGUUUGAUUCCCAGCAAUCCCC